Molecule: long non-coding RNA, 401 nt
Filed under: Brassica napus (rape)
Lineage: Eukaryota; Viridiplantae; Streptophyta; Magnoliopsida; Brassicales; Brassicaceae
Description: long non-coding RNA (BNAP_LNC016068)
Source: RNAcentral
AAUAACAUAGACCCUUAUUUUAUUGUUGUAACAUUAGUGAUGACAUGACAAAUCCGAAUUGAUGACAUAGCGGAUGACAUGGAAAAUCGGUUAGUCAGCCGCCAAACGAAUAUAUAACUCAGCCUAAAUAAAUCAGCCCUCAUGUACAAUGCAAGUCAGCCGAAACGUGGAUACUAUUUCAGUAAUUAAUCUUUCGCUAAUAAAUCAGCUGUAAUUAAGAUGAAAAAUCUUAAGUCAGCCAUAUCGUCAAAUAAAUGAUAUUCUAGUAAUUAAUCUUUCGCUAAUAAGCCAGCCGUAAAAAGCUGAGUUUACUAUUAAUCCAUCCAAUGACGGCUGAUUAAAUAUAACCCAGCCGUAACAACAUCUCAUAAGUCGGCCGUAAAUUCAAUAACUCAGCCAGU